This 5098-nucleotide long non-coding RNA is filed under the name Brassica napus (rape). Its description in RNAcentral is "long non-coding RNA (BNAP_LNC007448)". Lineage: Eukaryota; Viridiplantae; Streptophyta; Magnoliopsida; Brassicales; Brassicaceae. The record is from RNAcentral.
CCGGCCCUGAGAUUUAAGGGUAAUAGGCGGUUUUUUUCUUCUUCUUUUUUUCUGACACACAGGGUAAUAGGCGAUUUACUAAAUGAUUUUAACUAAAUUUUUUUUUCAUUUUACAAAUUUGGGGCCUAAUUUUUUUUUUUUAAGACUGUAAUUUUCUUCAAAAAUUUUUAUAGCCUACUACCAAUGUUUCAUUCAGCUUUGCUCAUGAGGGAUAUAGUAAAGAAACAUAAUCUGAGGAGUGUAGUGUACACGGACCCAUCCAAAUGCAAAGGGAAGGUUAUUUCCUGUACCCAAAGGAACGGUGGCAACAGGAGGAGGAUGUGAUAAUUUAAGGUCACAUACAACUCCAAGUAGCCACCCAGCAGUUCCAUCACCUCCUGCCACCUAUAAAGAUAGCAAUGCAAGCAAUUAUAAGCACAAAAUGGUGAAAGAGAGAGAGAGUGUUGUAAUUAUAUAAAACAACUCCUCCUCACAAUUAUUUUUAACUUGUCCCGAAUGUGACGAGCGAGAUCAUCUUCCUUUAGCCUCUCGAGGUUAAGAUAGAUUCUGCGGAGCACCUUGUCCGGGGUCUCUACCCCAAGAUCAAACACCUGCUUCUCAUUAAGAAGAGACUUAUAGGUGAGGAGGAGCUCCCCACCCAGCUGACCUCCGCUUUUAGAGUUGAUGAAGACAAGGACGGGACUCUCUGGUGGAGCGAUGGGCAGUGCCUGAGCCUCCGAUUCUGGAGAGAGGACGUAAGAAGGGAUGUAGAAGUGCUUUACAAAAUCUGAUAAACUCUCGUAGCUGUUAUCCAUGGAAGAAGAAAUGAAGGAGGAAUCGAGAUCAGGAAAAGUUAUGAUGAUGAUGAGUCGUAAUUCAAAAUGAUAUCCUUGUCUUGUCUUGUAUUGUAUUGUUUAUUAAUCAUAUUAUUAUUCUAAAAAGGGAUUUAUGGGAAUACUAGCGAGAUGGCUGCGGAGUAGUUGGCCUCUUUUUUUCUGACGCGGACUGAUUCUUGCGCCGCGUUAGUCGUCACUAUCCAUUUCCCUUUUUAUAAAUAUGACCCAGAUUCACUCAAAUGGGCCUGUAUAUUUUGGGCCCUCUAACUCAGGUAUUUCAUUCCCCUCUUUCGCGUGUCUCGAUUUGGUAAACCGUACGGACAAGUCAGUCGGUAUUUUUGGUUACAAAGGAUUUGAAUAGUACUAGGUGUUUUCUUCCUGACAUAGACAGAAAUAAUAAUAUAUUAUUCUUUUUAUUUUAAAAGAAAAUUUUCGUUUACACUGUGACAUUAUUAUUUUCUAUUUUAACUAUAUCGGUUUGAAAAAAAAAUCAUAAAUCUAAUUUUUGUAGUUUUAUUCCUUUUGAUUUGGUUUAACAGUUUCAUUUUGAUUUUAUUUAAAUUCUAGCAGAGUUAUGAUUACAUUUUAUAAAAUUAAAAUUUUAUUUAUCAUUAUAUUAUAUUUAGUGAUUAUUUAUUUUAAAUAUGUGCCAUCACAUAAUAAUAAUUUUAAAUAUACAAAUUCUAUUAUUUUUUUAAAAUUACAGUUGGACAUUAUUAUUUUUACCUAUUUCCGUCCUUCGUGGAACUUUAUAAAAUUGAAUCAGUUGUGGAAUUUUAUUGUCGUCUCCGUGUGCUUCGUGGAACUUUUACCACAAACCAUCAAUUUAUUUCUAACAGGAAAGAGAAGAAAACGAAUCCUAAAAGCUAGCUUCCUAAAUUUUGAUCUAUUUUUAAUUUCUUAUUUGAAAUGUUUUUAAUCCUUAGAUCCAAAACAGAAAUUUGUUGUUAAGAAUUCUGUUUCACUUUAAAACCAAAAAAAGACUUUUUCUAAUGCUUUUAACAAAAACCUUGCAAUACUUUUUGUAAAAGUUGUAUCAUCUUGAGAUCAGCUGGAUUUUAAAGGCAAAAAAGGUUUUAACUUGUGGGGCAAGAAAACAAGCGAACGUGGUCGUACCAUGGUUGCAGUGUUGGAAAGAGGACUAAGCGCUUCCAAAUCAUUCAAUAUUAAAAGAAUGUUUCAUUCAUUGUCUACAAGACAACAACAACCUCAAACCCUUGUCGUGGAGAACGGUGAUUCUCAUCUUGUCGAAUCCAAGACACCUGAAAGCCAAAACUCCGACUGCUUCACAGAAAGCCCCGUUGAAAGCAUGCCUCCCAUGAUUUCCCCUCUUACUCGGCCCGGAAAACGACCCGAGAGACAACAAGCAGGUUAAUCUUCUAAGAGUUUUUGGGCCCAAAGACAACGUCUCCCCCUAAUAUUUUUUUUUUCCAUGAGAGAAAUCUCUAGUAAUGAAAAAUUAUUGCAGAUACUGAGUUGAAGGACAGGUUUGCUAAAUUACUUCUUGGAGAAGAUAUGUCGGGUGGUGGAAAAGGCGUAUCUUCUGCUCUUGCUCUUUCCAACGCCAUCACAAAUCUUGCUGGUAACUAAAUAUUUUUCUUUUUAACUUUUCUCGUUUCAUCAAGAUUUUAAAUUUUAAAUUAUUCUGAUGAUGGUACGACCGUUCUCAGCGUCUAUAUUCGGGGAACAGACAAAGCUGCAACCGAUGCCACAAGAUAGACAAGCGAGGUGGAAGAAAGAAAUUGAAUGGUUGUUGUCUGUGACCGAUCAUAUCGUCGAGUUCGUUCCUUCUCAACAAACGAGCAAAGAUGGAGUCUGCACCGAGGUUCGAAUCUUCCCAAUGGACGUAUAUCACUUUAUACCUCUUUAGGUAGAUUUAUAAAUGUUUUUAGUUAUUUUAUGAAGAUUAUGGUGACAAGACAAAGAGGUGAUCUUCUCAUGAACAUCCCAGCCCUUCGAAAACUAGACGCCAUGCUAAUCGUAAGUGUUUCCAUUUGUAUAUUAAACCUCUCUAUUUUUAUUACCCCUCUAGUAUGAUGGAUAAAUGGUGAUGAAAACAUGUUCAGGAUACACUAGACAAUUUCAGAGGACACAACGAGUUUUAUUAUGUGUCGAGAGAUUCAGAAGAAGGGAAACAAGCAAGUAAUGCUAGGUCAAACGACAAAUGGUGGCUCCCUCCAGUGAAAGUUCCUCCCGGCGGUUUAUCUGAACCGGCUCGGAAAAUGCUUUACUUCCAAAAGGAUUCAGUCACACAGGUCCAAAAAGCUGCAAUGGCUAUUAAUGCUCAAGUCCUCUCUGAAAUGGCAAUACCUGAGAGCUACAUCGACUCUCUCCCAAAGGUAAACCAAUCACUGAUUGAAUAUUUCAUUUCUCCCUUUGUUAUUUAAUUUGUUAUAUUAUAUAUAUCGCAUUUAAGCUUUGAUUUUCUUUGUGUUGACAGAACGGGAGAUCAAGCCUUGGGGAUUCGAUCUACAAGAGCAUAACAGAGGAGUGGUUUGAUCCAGCGCAGUUCUUGUCGAUGCUGGACUUGUCGACAGAGCACAAAGUGUUGGAUUUGAAGAACAGGAUUGAGGCAUCUGUUGUUAUUUGGAAGAGGAAGCUUCACUUAAAGGACAACAAAUCUUCAUGGGGAUCAGCAGUUAGCUUGGGGAAAAGAGAAUUGUUUGAAGAGAGAGCAGAGACGAUCUUGAUCUUGCUCAAGCAGAAAUUUCCCGGUCUUCCUCAGUCUUCCCUUGACAUCUCUAAAAUUCAAUUUAACAAGGUAAAAUGCAAAGAAAUGUAUUGUAGAUGACUUGGAUGACAAGAAAUAACUCAUAAUUUAUUCGGUUAAUAAGAAACAAAAGAUAAUCCAAAAUAUUGAGUGGUUAAAUGAAUACAGGACGUUGGACAAGCGGUGUUGGAGAGUUACUCGAGGAUUCUUGAGAGCUUGGCUUACACGGUGAUGUCAAGGAUAGAAGAUGUUCUUUAUACAGAUUCUUUGGCACAAAAGCAAGCUUUAUUGGCUGAAGCAGACGCUGGGAGAACAAGUGAGACGGAUUCAGAGUCAGCGGGAUCUUCUCACUCGGGAGAAGAAACCGAGAAGCUUGACCCACACUACUCCAAAACCUUGUUGGAUUUCAUGGGUUGGAGCGACAAUAGUUCUAAAGGCGGCGAUAAACCUACCAAAUCCCCAUCUCUUACGCCAAAAAAACUCUCCUACUUGGAGAAGUUAGAGAAUUUUAACGGUUUUAGAAGCCCUAAAGAUAGACAUUAAUCAUGAAAAUCCAUGUGUCGUGGUAAAUUCACAAAAGACAUAAGAGUUUAGCUAGGGAAAAGGAAUGGAAAGAGAGUAGCAAAUGAAUUAUUCACACCCCCUUCCUUCCGGCUUUCUUCCUCGGAUAGGGAAUUCUUUAUCUUAAAAGGUUUAAAAUCUUUUUUAAAAAAAGAUAACUCUAUGUCAAUAGGACAUGUUGUUGUUUCAAAAUAUUUAAAAGAGUAAAUGAAUGAUAUAUCCAUAAUAAGAGAAAAAUGAGUCAGAAUUUAUCCUUCCUGGUAUGUAGAUUUUAUUUACCAUAUUUAGUUCAUCUGUUGAAGAGACACGGUGAAAUGCAUGUAGAGAAUGUGGUAACUCAAGAGGUGCAAGAGGAUCACAAGGGCCUUCUUUAGGAGUCUUCAUCCUCAUAACUAUGUGCCAACUUAAAGUAGACAAAAUGUAUUCACCAGUUAUUCCAGAAUUAUUUAAAAAAAAAGAAGAAGGAGAUAUGUAUAUACUUGUCAAUCUUCAUCUCUUUGGCCUUGAGCACUUGAUCCAAAAACAACUCCACUGAAGCUGUAUCAGUUCCUGGAUUUUUCUUUCCCUGAAGAGAGCAAGCAAAACAAGGAUUGAGAUUGAAACCCUUGUGAUAUAGUCAAGCCGGCCCUGAGAUUUAAGGGUAAUAGGCGGUUUUUUUCUUCUUCUUUUUUUCUGACACACAGGGUAAUAGGCGAUUUACUAAAUGAUUUUAACUAAAUUUUUUUUUCAUUUUACAAAUUUGGGGCCUAAUUUUUUUUUUUUAAGACUGUAAUUUUCUUCAAAAAUUUUUAUAGCCUACUACCAAUGUUUCAUUCAGCUUUGCUCAUGAGGGAUAUAGUAAAGAAACAUAAUCUGAGGAGUGUAGUGUACACGGACCCAUCCAAAUGCAAAGGGAAGGUUAUUUCCUGUACCCAAAGGAACGGUGGCAACAGGAGGAGGAUGUGAUAAUUUAAGGUCACAUACAACUCCAAGUAGCCACCCAGCAGUUCCAUCACCUCCUGCCACCUAUAAA